This 377-nucleotide ribosomal RNA is filed under the name uncultured bacterium. RNAcentral describes it as "bacterial SSU rRNA". It matches the Rfam family "Bacterial small subunit ribosomal RNA", at positions 523 to 898 of the family's 1533-position model. The record is from RNAcentral.
AUACGAAGGGUGCAAGCGUUACUCGGAAUUACUGGGCGUAAAGCGUGCGUAGGCGGUUUGUUAAGUCUGCUGUGAAAGCCCUGGGCUCAACCUGGGAACUGCAGUGGAUACUGGCGAGCUAGAGUGUGUCAGAGGAUGGUGGAAUUCCCGGUGUAGCGGUGAAAUGCGUAGAGAUCGGGAGGAACACCAGUGGCGAAGGCGGCCAUCUGGGACAACACUGACGCUGAGGCACGAAAGCGUGGGGAGCAAACAGGAUUAGAUACCCUGGUAGUCCACGCCCUAAACGAUGCGAACUGGACGUUGGGCACACUUAGGUGCUCAGUGUCGAAGCUAACGCGUUAAGUUCGCCGCCUGGGGAGUACGGUCGCAAGACUGAA